AUACGGAGGAUGCGAGCGUUAUCCGGAUUUAUUGGGUUUAAAGGGUGCGCAGGCGGCGUGUCAAGUCAGCGGUCAAAAUGCGGCGCUCAACGCCGUACCGCCGUUGAAACUGGCAUGCUCGAGUUCGUGCGAGGAUGGCGGAAUGCGCGGUGUAGCGGUGAAAUGCAUAGAUAUCGCGCAGAACUCCGAUUGCGAAGGCAGCUGUCCAGCACACGACUGACGCUCAUGCACGAAAGCGUGGGUAUCGAACAGGAUUAGAUACCCUGGUAGUCCACGCGGUAAACGAUGAUAACUAGUUAUUCGGCGCGAGUGAGUGCUGAGUGACCGAGCGAAAGCGUUAAGUUAUCCACCUGGGGAGUACGCCGGCAACGGUGAAACUCAAAGGAAUUGACGGGG
This 396-nucleotide ribosomal RNA is filed under the name uncultured bacterium. RNAcentral describes it as "partial 16S ribosomal RNA". It matches the Rfam family "Bacterial small subunit ribosomal RNA", at positions 523 to 918 of the family's 1533-position model. The record is from RNAcentral.